AGCUCACUACAACCCCAGCCUCUUGGACUCAAGCCAUCCUCCUACCUCAGUCUCCCAAAGUACUGGGAUUAUAGGUGUGAGCCACCAUGCAUGGCCCCACAGAUGCUUAACUUCUAUCUCACCUUCCCCCAAAAGGGCAUGAAGGCAGCACCUGGGAUGCAGAGUGUUGGCGAGGACACACUCCGCUGCCUUUAUGGUGCUCUCUGCCCAGUGCCUGGGGUGCAGCAGGAGCCCCAGGCCUUGCUGGGUAUCAAGGUCACCGCCCCCAGCAGAACCCAGCCUGCUACUCUUGGUGCAAAGGGGCCUGAGGGAGCUGCCCCACUGCCCCACAGUGGAACGUGAGGCACAGACGGCACUCAGGAAGAAGGGGGCUGGCGCACACAUGAACGGCCCUGCCCCAGCGAGCACAAAGCUGUUUAUGCUUCCCGUCCUUCCUCGAGGGUUUGGGGUGGCAAUCGCACCAUGGAAGCCCGCCAAGCCUCCUGACUCCCUGGCAGCCCUGGUGAAUGGUAUCCCACUCAACAGCUAGAAGGGUGGCUGAGGGUUGUGGCGGGGGCCCGGGGGACUGCAUCUCAGUGCUUCACAUGGCCUCGUCAUAAAGCAGGGCAGCCCUGGGCCUAUCAGGCGGCUGGCAGGGCUGACGGGAGGUCCUGCCCUCCAGAGGACUCUCCCUAGAUAAGCCACUUACAGAGUGUCGAUGGCAGCAUCCUUCACUGAGAGGUCACCUUGGUCCAUUAUUUGAGCAAUUUCACCUACAGACAAAUGAAGUAAGAGACACUGAAAAGACACAGGUGGCCACAGGAACUUUUCUUCCCCUGCAGGAAAUUUGACAUCAGUGACCCUGGAUGACCUCCCUCCUAUGAAAUCUCCAUCACAGACAGCAGGAGUGGAGUCCAUCUACAGGGCAAAGCGAGGCCAAUAAAAUCAAACACUAAUAAAAUAUGCCUGAAAAAACCCUUAAUAGAAAAACUGAGCCUCUAAAACCUGGCUGUGGCAUCACAUCAGAUGCUGUGAGAUGGCUGGAAACACAGUGCAGACUUGGUUUGUGAGAAGGAGACCCACUAUGGCUAUAGACAACUUUCCUACCAAGAGGUAAGUACCCUGCACGGACUGUAAUGUAAAGUCAGGGCCACCAUAUUGCCCGAGUGGUUCUCCCAGAGACCUGAUUUAUCUUUUAUUUUUCUUUUUUGAGACGAAGUUUUACUCUCGUUGCCCAGGCUACAGUGUAACGGCGUGAUCUCAACUUACCA
This is a non-coding RNA of Macaca mulatta (Rhesus monkey), 1250 nucleotides long. The record is from RefSeq and is a predicted model, not a curated record. Lineage: Eukaryota; Metazoa; Chordata; Mammalia; Primates; Cercopithecidae.